This 253-nucleotide ribosomal RNA is filed under the name uncultured bacterium. Its description in RNAcentral is "partial 16S ribosomal RNA". It matches the Rfam family "Bacterial small subunit ribosomal RNA", at positions 524 to 776 of the family's 1533-position model. The record is from RNAcentral.
UACAGAGGUCUCAAGCGUUGUUCGGAUUCAUUGGGCGUAAAGGGCGCGUAGGCGGCGGGGUAAGUCGGGUGUGAAAUCUCAGAGCUCAACUCUGAAACUGCACUCGAUACUGCUCUGCUUGAGGACUGGAGAGGAGACUGGAAUUCACGGUGUAGCAGUGAAAUGCGCAGAUAUCGGGAAGAACACCCGUGGCGAAGGCGGCUCUCUGGGACGGUACUGACGCUGAGACGCGAAAGCGUGGGGAGCGAACAGG